AGUGAACGCUGGCGGUAGGCCUAACACAUGCAAGUCGAACGGCAGCACAGUAAGAGCUUGCUCUUACGGGUGGCGAGUGGCGGACGGGUGAGGCAUACAUCGGAAUCUACUUUUUCGUGGGGGAUAACGUAGGGAAACUUACGCUAAUACCGCAUACGACCUACGGGUGAAAGCAGGGGAUCUUCGGACCUUGCGCGAUUGAAUGAGCCGAUGUCGGAUUAGCUAGUUGGCGGGGUAAAGGCCCACCAAGGCGACGAUCCGUAGCUGGUCUGAGAGGAUGAUCGGCCACACUGGAACUGAGACACGGUCCAGACUCCUACGGGAGGCAGCAGUGGGGAAUAUUGGACAAUGGGCGCAGGCCUGAUCCAGCCAUACCGCGUGGGUGAAGAAGGCCUUCGGAUUGUAAAACCCUUUUGUUGGGAAAGAAAAGCAGCGGGUUAAUCCCCCGCUGUUCUGACGGUACCCAAAGAAUAAGCACCGGCUAACUUCGUG
This 492-nucleotide ribosomal RNA is filed under the name uncultured bacterium. RNAcentral describes it as "partial 16S ribosomal RNA". It matches the Rfam family "Bacterial small subunit ribosomal RNA", at positions 29 to 507 of the family's 1533-position model. The record is from RNAcentral.